Molecule: unclassified non-coding RNA, 288 nt
Filed under: Hevea brasiliensis (rubber tree)
Lineage: Eukaryota; Viridiplantae; Streptophyta; Magnoliopsida; Malpighiales; Euphorbiaceae
Source: RNAcentral
AUUUGUAAAGUUUCUCAACCAAGAUUAUAGUUGUAAGAUCGCAUGCAGAACUUACUGUAACAGCAUACAAAAGAGGAGAAGAAUCUUACAUACCGCAAUUAAACCAUGGGGUUGAUGAAUCCAUGACCUCAAACCUUCCAAACCUCGGGAAUACAUGCGCAAAGAGGUCGCUAAUGUAGAAGAAGGAGAUCGGCCCACAUGCAUGGGCGCAGCUGAAGUCGAGCUUGCAUGCAUGCAAGGCUCACUUCAUUCACUUGAGCAAAGGAACUCGCCGGAUCAGAGAUGAGG